Molecule: ribosomal RNA, 507 nt
Filed under: Chondria armipes
Lineage: Eukaryota; Metazoa; Arthropoda; Insecta; Coleoptera; Endomychidae
Description: partial 16S ribosomal RNA
Rfam family: Bacterial large subunit ribosomal RNA (bases 381-507)
Source: RNAcentral
GUCCUUUUGAUUAUAAUUUAAGGUUUAACCUGCCCACUGAAAUUUUAAAUGGCCGCAGUAUUUUGACUGUGCAAAGGUAGCAUAAUCAAUAGUUUCUUAAUUAGAAGCUGGAAUGAAAGGUUUGAUAAGAAAAAUACUGUCUCAAUUUAAUUUUUAAAAUUUUAUUUUUAAGUUAAAAAGCUUAAAUUUAAUUAAAAGACGAGAAGACCCUAUAGAGUUUUAUAUUUAUAAAAUUUUAAUAAAAUAGAAUUAAAAUUUUAAUUUUUAAUUAAAUAUUUAAUUGGGGUGAUUUAAAAAUUUAAUAAACUUUUUAUAAUUAAAAUCAUUAAUUUAUGAAUAAUUGAUCCAUUUAAAUGAUUAAAAGAAUAAAUUACCUUAGGGAUAACAGCGUAAUUUUUUCUGAAAGUUCUUAUUGAUGAAAAAGAUUGCGACCUCGAUGUUGGAUUAAAAUUAAUUUAUGGUGAAGAAGCUAUAGGAUUAGGUCUGUUCGACCUUUAAAAUUUUACA